RNAcentral lists this long non-coding RNA (1323 nucleotides) under Marmota monax (woodchuck). Lineage: Eukaryota; Metazoa; Chordata; Mammalia; Rodentia; Sciuridae. The record is from RNAcentral.
CUCCGGGGUAAAUGACGAAAAAAAAAAAUCUGCCCGUCCAUAGAUAGGAUGGGAGCAAGAGGAAAAAUGGCCAUUUUGAGAAAAUGGAGAAGAUUGAUACAGUAUGUUUGUGUCUUGUUUUGUCUUGAAAUGUUGUAUUGUCUUUGUGACGAAAAUAUGGAAGGGGUGAGAAGUAAAUUACUAAGGGAAGAAGGCACCCCAGUGGAACCAAGAAUAGUUAGGGCAUGUGUUGACAGAAGCCCAGGAACUCUAGUCAGAAAGAAGAAAGUUCAGAGGAGAAAGGAUUAUCAGGAAAAAAGUUGCAGCAAAAGGCUAUUACUGAAUACUUUUUGUUACCGGAGGGUGCGUGAAUCGCCGCAGCGGCUGCCACGUGCGCGAGCCAGUCAUGGUGCAGCAAGGACUUUCCAAGCGGCAGCAGCCGGCUCUUCCACUGCCGGGAGCCCAAAUCUAGACCUGACUUGGAGGCACAGCCUCGCGGGCUCUUGCUCCCUGUGCCCGGAAGCAGUUUGAGUCCAGGACACUCCCCAGGGCCAUCUGGGGCUGCCCUGGACGCUACAGCCGGCAAAAGACGCUACCAGCGUCCCUGAUGUUUGGUCAUUUUCAAUGCCAAUAACUAAGCUACAAUGGUUCUCCUACACCUGGAGGCUAAUGAGUAAUGAGCGCCACUAAGGCCUAUUUCAAAUGUACUAAAUUGUUCAGAAGGUUAUUUUCUUAGUGGAAUACUACAGGAUUUUCUUUAGCCAUCCGGAGUCCCUGCCUUCGUCCCAGUGCCGGUGAGGACGAGGAUGGAAGAAUUUCCAGUGUUGCUGAGAACCGGACAAGACUUCGGAUCUUACCUGCCUGCAGAACUUACCUGGACUGUGAUUUAAGCUAGCUGCCUGCAGAACUUACCUGGACUGUGAUUUACCUGGACUGUGAGUUAAUCUAUUGAGACACUGCUUUACCUGGACUGAGACAACAAACUGUAAUCUACAACAAAUUGUAACUCGGUAUCUUUGAAAACGGUGUCAUUGCUGGUAUAAUUUUUCCAAGGGCUUCUUGCAUGGAGCCAUCAAUUGGCUUGGUAUUGUGGCAUUUUGUAUCCUCCCCUUCUGCUUGUAGCAGAUUACUUAUGGUGUUUGUGUAAAAACCACUAUGGUCAUUAUUUAAAUUAAACAAAAGGGGGAAAUGUUAGAGUCUGUAAACAAGUCAAGAUGGCGCCUGGCAUUUUGCAGAGGGAGUGGUUUGUGAAGUAACGCCAGUGAGCCAUUAAGUGUGGAGAUUCCUUAUUGGUUGACUGCUGUAUCUAGUUUAUGUUAAUUAAGAUAAGCUUGUGGAAUGUAU